GGUGAGUAAUGCCUAGGAAUCUGCCUGGUAGUGGGGGACAACGUUUCGAAAGGAACGCUAAUACCGCAUACGUCCUACGGGAGAAAGCAGGGGACCUUCGGGCCUUGCGCUAUCAGAUGAGCCUAGGUCGGAUUAGCUAGUUGGUGAGGUAAUGGCUCACCAAGGCGACGAUCCGUAACUGGUCUGAGAGGAUGAUCAGUCACACUGAACUGAGACACGGUCCAG
Molecule: ribosomal RNA, 225 nt
Filed under: uncultured Pseudomonadales bacterium
Lineage: Bacteria; Pseudomonadati; Pseudomonadota; Gammaproteobacteria; Pseudomonadales
Description: partial 16S ribosomal RNA
Rfam family: Bacterial small subunit ribosomal RNA
Source: RNAcentral